Molecule: long non-coding RNA, 1791 nt
Organism: Beta vulgaris subsp. vulgaris (sugar beet)
Lineage: Eukaryota; Viridiplantae; Streptophyta; Magnoliopsida; Caryophyllales; Amaranthaceae
Exons: 5
Source: RefSeq, a predicted model, not a curated record
CUCUGCAAAGGCCAAAUUUAGGCAUUGGUUGGAUACCUUUGAAACUAAUUCAGAGAGCUGAAGUUUCGCUGCUUCCAGACCAACCACACCAAUGUUCUGCUUUCCAAGCGUCUCCUGAGCUUUUUCUAGGACUGCCUGAAGGUGAAAGGCCAUUCUGUUUGAAUUGGAAGUAGACAGGAUCAAGUACCUCAAGCUGCUCGUGUAGCCUUCUUUGGACUUCGAUUUGCAUCUGCAAAGCUUCGUUUAUAUGGGAAGAUUCUGUUGACUGGAGCAUCAUAAAAAUUUAGUAUUCGAUAUGGACAAGCGAAAAUUAAGAAGAUGCUUAAAUUGGGAAAUUGUUUGAGGGGAAAGUAUGGAAUAUGGAAUACAUACUAUUGUAUCUCUUUCAGUAAGUAUGGUACUUAUUCAACCCACUCACUGUAAUUACAUGGGUGGACCUCAAUCUUUCUCAAUGCUGUUUUGCUUGAGCAACUAGUCCCACACUGUUAAUAUAAGAGACUAAGCGUCCUGUACACAAGUUGAGUAUUAUACUUGUUUCUUUGCUUUACUCAAAGAUGUGUCUUUCAUCCGUGUAGGACCCAAUUACCUUGCACUUGACUUGUUAUGUGAUUCUUUCCAAUCUCCACGUAUAAUACUACUCUGUUUUCCUUUAUUUAAUAUCUGAAGAUAUCUCUCUAUAGAUAUUUCCGUGUCAAUUAAUUGAGUUCGUGCAUGAAUCAUCUUCUUCAUGUUAUGUCCUGCAGAUAUAGCACAUGCAUAUUUGCAUCUUGAAUGGUGCAGCAUGUUUGCUAUUAUAUUUUGAAUUAACUUAUGUAUUUUCUCUCUUCUUGCUGUCUUUUACAUAUAUUAUGUCCUUCUAGCUAUGCAUACAAAUUAUACCGAAAAUUUCCAUCUUUUGAUGACUACAUUCUCCUUGUUUGGUCUGUUACACUUAGACACGGAGAAACACUCUUGAAGGCCUCUGGAACACUAUCAGUUAGGACAGGUUAGGUAUAAAAAUUAUAAUGGUUGUACAUCUGGGUACUCGCUUUUUACCUGGUUGAAUUUACUGUGGCUAUCUUUUGCCAAAGCCGUAUGAUUCUCCCCAUUUGAAAGAGGGGGAUUUAUAAGAAAAUUUGUGGACCAAUUAUGCCAAUUGGAUGUCUCGUCCAGUCCAGUCCAGUCCAGUCCAGUCCAGUCCAGUUAUUAAGGAUCAAACUUAUAUGACAAGGGGAAGGGAGCGUCAUUGCACUCAAGCGAGAGAGGGGCUCUCUCUUGGUUGUUGAAUGUUGAUGCUCUUAGGAAGAAAUGAGGUAUGCAUGGUGUAAGUGAUCCUUUGUACUAGAGACUAGAGAGGUGAAGUUGAAGUGUUGAACACAAACAUGUGUGAAGAUGCUUGAUGAUUGCUGCUUCUUGACCACACAAAGGUGGCCCUAGGUCUCCAAUGAAAAAGUGAGAAAUGACCACGGAAUGAUAUUCCUUGUUGUAAAGAAAGUGAGGGAUAGAUAGAAGUAUAUUUAUUUUUAUUUUAUUUAAUUAUAUUUUUGUCCCAAAAUUCUGUAAGAAUAGGAAUAUGAGAAUCAUGACUCAAAGUAGAGCCGGUGGGUUUUAUUCUCAAGUUUAGAAUUUUUUGUAUUUAUUCUCACAAAUUGAAACCACUAAAAAUGGGUGCGCACCUGUACUUUCAUCCUUUACCUAUAGAUGUCUUAGUUUUCUUUUCUUUUCUUUUUAACAAUGUUCAUGAUUGAUACUGAAGACAGAUAUGAAUUAUGAUGAACAACAUUUUCCUAUAAUUGAUAGAGAUAAGAGAUA